CCAUUUCUUGGGCCACUCCUGCGGCAUAUGGAGGUUUCCAGGCUAGGGGUCAAAUUGGAGCUGUAGCCACCAGCCCACGCCAGAGCUACAGCAAUGUGGGAUCUGAGCCGUGUCUGCAACCUACACCACAGCUCGCGGCAACGCCAGAUCCUCAACCCACUGAGCAAGGCCAGGUAUCGAACCUGCAACCUUAUGGUUCCUAGUUGGAUUCGUUAACCACUGAGCCAUGACGGGAACUCCCCGGAAAUAACCUUUUGAGGAGCAUAGGAUAGCCCUAGGUUAAGAAACAGUGAACCAUAGGAUCUGAAACAGUGUGUGGCCCAUUGGCAGCCAUUGUUUUCUCUACCCAGCUGUUUCUGGCCAUUUCUGGACAAUAUGUCAUUGAAACACAAGUAUGUAAUUGAUUUUAAGAGCAAAUGAGAAAUAUACCAUCUCCUAACUUAAAGAAGUUAAUAGGAUCCAAUAAAUUCUUUUACAAUGUGUUUCUGUCUAGAUGGUCACUGAAAGGUCAUAGCACAAUAGGUCAAUAUAUACUUGGGAAACUUUUCACAAAUAACUGAAUUUCGCCGACCUAUUUCUGAUUUCAGAAGACCUCUAGGCAGAUUUCCUGGAGGAAGAAAACUCUCAGGUAGUGUCUGCUUCAGGACCAAAGGGGCUACUGCAUAGUGUCAAAGAUCCAUGUUUGAAUUCUGGCCCUGCCAUGAAUUUACUCAGCAAAUACUUAUUAAAAAACCAACUACCUUGGAGUUCUCUUGUGGCACAGUAGAUUAAGGGUCAGCUUUGUCACUGAAGCAGCUUGGGUUGCUGCUGUGGCAUGGGUUCAAUCUCUGGUCCAGGAACUUCCACAUUCCAUGGGUGAAGCCAAGAAAAAAAAAGCCUGCUAUCUUCCAGACACUAUAGUUAACACUGGAUAUAAGACAGUGAAUAGAAAGUUAUUGUCUUUUUUGUGGACUUCUGAGUCUAGUAAAAGAAUCAGAUAAACAAAUAGACAAUCAUAAUACAGAAUGAUAAAAGCUACAACAAAGAAGUACAAAAUAUGGAAACCUUUGGGAAGAACACAGUAUCAGUUUCCUACAGCUGCUGUAACAGCUUGUCAAAAUUCAGUGGCUUAAGACAAAGAAAAUUUAUUAUAUUACAAUUCUGGAGGUCAAAAGCCUGAAAUGCAUUUCACUAGGCUAAACUCAAGGUAUCAUCAGGGCGGUUUUUCUUCUGGAGGUUCUUAUAGAGAAUCCAUUUCCUUACGUUUUCCAGCUUCAUAAAGGUUGCCUGCAUUCCUUAGCUUAUGACUCUUUCCCAUCUUUAAAGUCAUCAAUGGCCAGCAGAAUUGCUUUCAUACCACAUCUCUGACACUGACUCUUCUGUCUCCCUAUUCUACUUUAUAAGGACUCUUGUGGUUUCAUUGAGCCCAUCAAGGUAGUCCAGGUGUAUCUCCAUCUCAAGCAUACCUAAUUAACAAACCAUAUUCCAUCUGCAAUGUUAAUUCCCUCUUGCUGAUUCCAGGGAUGAGGACAGAACACCAACAUCUUUGAGAACCAAUAUUCUGCCUGUGGUAAGCAGACUGGCAGAACAAAGGGGGAGGAAAAGCUACUUUGAGGAUUGAAAUGUAAGAUAAGUCUUGAAGGAUGAGUAGAAUUUAAGCAGUGAAAGGAAGGUCUUAGCAGGGUUAAGGGUAGACUUCUCUGUUUUGACUGUGGAACAGCAUGUGUCAGGGACCAGAGGCCAAAAAAGAAACAUGGUCCAUGGGAUGAUGUAAGGAAAAAAACUGAGUGUGGCUUGGGCAGAGACUGUGAGGGUAAGAGGAUGUCUGGCAAGUGAUAAAGCCCAAUGAUUAAGUAGUUAUGCAAGACCUUGGAAAAGAUGGUAAAAGCUUAGGAAUGUGUUACUAGGAUGUAGACAUAGAGGUGGUGUCGGGGAACAGCAUGAAGAAUGAUUGACAUAUCUGAGCAGCAUGUCCCUGGAUGGCUCAGCAGAAGACAGUGAUUGCUACCCCUAAGUUUGGAGGACUGUUGAAGGGGGCUGGAUGUUAACAGAAUAGAAAAGAAAAAUAAUUGUAUAUACAAGUGAUAAGCAGGAGGACACAGACAAUCUUGGGCAACUCUCCAUGGAGGAAGCCAUAGUAAUCUGAUAGACACCCUCCUUUCAAAAUGAGUUAAUUACAAUUUUGAUUAAUGCUAUGAAAGUGAAGUUCAGAGAGCUGAGAGAGUAUAUAUUGGGAGCCCUACACUUAGCUGUGGGUCAGAGAAAACUUAAGGAGAAAUAUUUAAGCUGAGAUCCGAAUGAUAAAUAAGAAAUAACUAGGUGAAGAGAGAAGGAUGUCCAGGCAGAGAGAAUGGCAAACACACAGGUAGAAAGAAGCAUGCCCUGUUUCAGCAGCCAAAAGGCCAGCACCUUCAGAGAGAAAGAAGAAAGGAAAAAGGAGAGUCAGAUAAGUCACGGCUGUGGAGUACAGAGAGGGGAUCGGGGCAGAAUCACAGGGCUCUCUAGAGCCUGUUAUGGCUUGAAAACUUGGUCUUGAGAGCAGUGAAAUGCUACCUAUAGUUUAACCAAAAGAAUGACAUGAUCAAAUUACGCCUUUAUAAAGAUCACCUGAACAUAGACCUAGAGAUUAUCAUAUUAAGUGAAGUAAAUUAAACAAAGACAAAUAUCAUAUCACAUAUGUGAAAUCUAAAAAAUAAUACAAAUGAACUUAUUUACAAAACAGAAAUAUACUCAUAGUCAUAGAAAACAAACUUACGAUUAUCAAAGGAGAUACUAUGGGGAGAAGGGGGAGGAGAGAAAUUAGGAGUUUGGGAUUAACACAUACACACUACUAUAUAUAAAAUUGGUAAACAACAGGGACCUACUGCAUAGCACUUAUAAUAACCUAUAAUGGGAAAGAAUCUGAAAAAGAACACAUGUAUGUAUUUAAAAAUAAGCUAUCCAUGAGAGAGCACAGUGGUUUGUGGGACAGAACUACUGUGCACAUCAGAAAGAGAAACAAUUGCUCCUGGAAGUAAAAGUGGACUACAGUUGAGCCUGCUUACAGAAAAGUGGCAUAAUUCAUCCCUAGGGAGAUGCCUCACUUUUGAGAAAGCAUCUUCAGGGUAUAAGCUCUUUCCUUCCCUUGAGAAAGUUCGGGUCCCUAAACUGGAUGGUCCAGGCUGGUGUGAGAUAAAAACAAAGCUGCACUAUUAGUCUGAAUAGUUAAAUGAGAAAAAAAUUCAGUUUGCUGCAGGCAGCCUAGGAGAGGGGCCUGGGACAGAGGAGAAAAAGGAAUUACCUGGAGGAUCUAUGGAAAGAAGAAAAAGGGCUCCUGGCACAUGGCUGGAGGCUGGAGCAUAAAAACUUCCGAUGGAAUGGGAUGGUGGACAAAUGACUGGAAACACUGAUAUUAUUGAAAAAUGUACUUGACGUUUGAAGUGUUUUCGGACCUGUAGUUACUUUCUGCAACCCUCAGAUCUGCAGUUAAGGCUGCCACUCAUGGAAGCCUCAGUGUUUGGUGCUUUGCUAGGGUGCAGAAAGAGGGGCAGCAUCUUGCUCUGGUCCAGCACAGGCAGGGAGAACUCACAGGAAGGAAUGGUCAUGGUCAGGAAGUCACAGAUGUGCACCCCCACAGAAAGGUGUGCAGUCCAGAAAACUCCAGAAAUGAUGGGAAGGAGUCUGGACUUCCCACUGAAGCAUUCAAGGGCGUUGACUGAGAUACUAAAGUUGAGGAUGACCGUAAGAGACUUGCGGAUAUGAAAGGAGGAAACAUCUGGAUUGUAGUUGUUUAUAUUUUGGGUUAAACCAAACAUGAUACUGCUUAAUAACUAUUACUAUUUAAUAAUGUUCACCCUGAACCAAGAAAGUCUUCAUAGUUUUCAGAAAUUUCCCAUUGGGGCUAUUUUGGCAGAUGGUAAGUAAUAACUUACUGAAUAAAGAAAAAUACUGAAGUAUCAAAUGUUACAUAAUACACAAAAAUGAAAUCUAUGAGUCUCUUGAUCAGAAAUAUUCAACUGGCAAAAUUAACAAGCUUCAAAGAUGCAUGCUGUGACAUCAUCCAUCCUAGCAAAUCCUGGCUAAUUGGACAAAAAAAUCUGACCUUUAUAUAGUAAGGCUGUCACAGAAAUGGCAACCAGAGUAAGUAUCAUAACAAAUAAGCCUCGUAUCAUGUGGUCUUUAUUAAAAUACCAAAACACAGGAAAACUUUUAACAAAACAUUUCUGUUCCGGGGACUUGCCCAAGCAUUUUUCUUUUUAUUUCUAGUUCAUUUGAGUUUGCAGAAGGAUUUCAUCUGCUUUUGCAGAUUCACUGUCAUGAUGAGGAUAUUAAGAGACCAGCUGUUACCCAAGAAAUUUUGUGAGCAUUGGCAAUAAAAUACACACAUUUAAAAGCAAAAUAAAAAUUCACGUUGUUUUGUGUGGAAUAUUUUGACAAAUAUACAUACAUGGUCAUAGCUAUCAGGCUAAAUCAUAGCCAAAUAUUUAAUUAAAAUGUAUCUAGAUAAUUGUGAGAAAGCCAGGAUCUCCAUUUUUUCCCUCUACUGUGGUAGGAAUGGCUUGCUAUGAAGGCCAUACUCAUGAAAAGUGGCAACUCUUAACUUCAUUGUUUUUUGCUCACCUGUGAUCAUUUAGAAAAUUUUACAGUCAGUGUUAAGCUCAAAGUCAAAGGUCUUUGUCUUUGAGUACUCUCUUACUUUCCUUUAGUUAUUUAUACUUCAAAGUACAGUUCAAUAAUGAUGGGGGCAUCCCUAAGUAAGUAGGUUUCAAAGACAUUAUUUCUAUAAAAGGCACAAAUAAUCUAUCUUGCGAGGUAAUAUUAUUUUGCCUCUGCUGUUCCACCUGCUCAAACCUAUCUGAACCAGAAUUCCUGAUGGGUCCGGCAGCAUAACUCUCAUAAGCCAGGUGGGAAUGGCCCAGGAUAUCCUGUGCACACACAUUCAUGAAUAAAUGAAAGAUGAGAAACGCUGUGUAGUAAGUGUUUUUGUUCUCUAAAUAUGAAUCCAUAAUUUGCUUUUUUAGCAGGAAUUUAUUCUGCUAUAAGAUUUGUGCCACCACCAAUUCUACUUCUAUCAUUUUCUAGGUCAAAGGAAGUAUUAACGAAAAAGGAGAUUCUGUUUUUCCAAGAAAAUUAUUGUCUAUCACACUGUAGAGAGUUGAAUUUCUUAAUCCUGCCAUUUAUCAGUUUAGUCAAAGAAGAUUAGAAUUAUCCGCUCUUAUUUUCCUUCACAUUACUUUGGUUUUGGAAUUCUUGCAAAAGACUAUUGUACACAGUCACGCCCCCACCCGCCGCCCCCCACUCUUUUAGGGCCGUACAACAGCAUAUGGAAGUUCCUAGGCUAGGUGCCGAAUCGGAGCUGCAGCUGUCAGCCAAGCCACAGUCACAGCCACAACAAUGCCAGAUCCCAGCCACUUCUGUGACUAUCCUGCAGCUUGGGGCAAUGCUAGAUCCUUCAACUCAUUGAGUGAGGCCAGGAACCAAACCUGCAUCCCCGUGAAUACUAAGUUGGGUUAGUAACCACUGAGCCACAAUGGGAACUCCCACAGUCAUCUUUUUAAAAAGAAAGAAAUAUGGAUUUCCCUGGUGGCUCAGUGGGUUAAGGAUCCGGCAUUGUCACUGCUGUGGCAUGGGUUUGAUCCCUGGCCUGGGAAUUUCCACAUGCCAAAGGCAACCCCCUAUCCCAAUUUUUUAAUUAGAAAAGAAAAAGAAAAAAAUAUGAUUGAAAUCAAAACCAACUUACUUCAACCAUAAUUAUAGUAGCUAAGAGGUGGUUAGCAGUACUGAGGUGGUUCAGUAUUGUGCUAAACACUGUCAAUUCUUUAUCUCAUUAAUUCACACAAGAACUUUGAGCAGUUAAGACGCACAAUCUUAUUGGACAAUGGUUCUCAAACUAGACUGUGCAUCAGGGUCAUCUAGAAUGCUUGUGAAAACACCUGCUACAUCCACCUCCAGAAUUUCUGACUCAGUUGGUCUAGGGUAAAGCCUGAGAAUUUGCACUUUGAAGAGGUUCUCAGGAAAUGCUGGUACUGCCAGUAUAUGGACUACACUUUGCAAACCACAGUUAUAGAUCAGGUUUCUAAAAACUGUGACCUACAGGCCAAAUCUAGGCAACUGCACUUUUUCUUGUCUGAUCCACACGCUAAGAUUGGUUUUAGUUUUGAACAGUGAA
This 6127-nucleotide long non-coding RNA is filed under the name Sus scrofa (pig). RNAcentral's name for it is "lncRNA (ENSSSCG00055019188.1)". Lineage: Eukaryota; Metazoa; Chordata; Mammalia; Artiodactyla; Suidae. The record is from RNAcentral.